UUAGUUCAGCCAAGCUUCCCCAUUAUGCAUUCCCCCUGGGGGGUUACGGUCGCAGGAUUUAAACCUCAAAGUAAAUGGACGGGGCGCCCCGCACAACUCGGUGGACCAUAUGGUUUUAAUUAGAAGCACCGCGAAGAACCUUACCUGGUCUUGACAUCUUCCCCCCACCCCUAGAGAUAGGAUAGUCCCCUUCGGGGGCACCGGGACAGGUGGUGCGUAGUUGUUUUUUCCUCGCGUCGUGAGGAUGUUGGGUCUAAAACCCGCCAUGAGUGCCACCCCGGUUUUUAGUUGCCAGCAUUCACUUGGGCAAUGUAAAGUUACUGCCGGGGACAAACCGGAGGAAUGUGGGGAUGAAGUCAAAUCCUCAUGGCCCUUUUGACCUGGGCUACCCACCAUGCUACAAUGGACAGAACAAAGGGCAGCGAAACCAGCGAGGUUAAGCCAAUUCCCACAAAUCUGUUUUCAGUUCGGAUCGCAGUCUGCAACUUGACUGGCGUGAAGGUGGAAUCGUUAGUAAUCGGGGAUCAUCAUGGCGAGGUGAAUACAUUCCCCGGCCUUGUACACACCGCCCGACUCACCCCUAGAGUUUGUAACACAGGAAGUAAGCUACCUUCCUCUACUAGACAUGCAUUUUAUGCGGA
Molecule: ribosomal RNA, 641 nt
Filed under: Bacillus amyloliquefaciens
Lineage: Bacteria; Bacillati; Bacillota; Bacilli; Caryophanales; Bacillaceae
Description: bacterial SSU rRNA
Rfam family: Bacterial small subunit ribosomal RNA
Source: RNAcentral